This 134-nucleotide small RNA is filed under the name Escherichia coli. RNAcentral describes it as "RtT sRNA". It matches the Rfam family "RtT RNA". Rfam says of the family: This family represents a bacterial cis-regulatory element known as RtT RNA. The exact function of RtT is unknown although it is thought that it may be involved in changing the cellular response in relation to amino acid starvation. The record is from RNAcentral. Lineage: Bacteria; Pseudomonadati; Pseudomonadota; Gammaproteobacteria; Enterobacterales; Enterobacteriaceae.
UGCAUCUGUAGCUCAUGAGGAUGAGAACCUCCGGGGGCAGGGAGGUUCGACUCGAGCGAAGCGAGAGAACGUUGCGCCAGCAACGGCCCGCAGGGCGAGCCACGAAGUGGCGAGUAAUCCUCUAUCACCGACCA